GAUGAACGCUGGCGGCGUGCCUAAUACAUGCAAGUCGAGCGAACAGACGAGGAGCUUGCUCCUCUGACGUUAGCGGCGGACGGGUGAGUAACACGUGGAUAACCUACCUAUCAGACUGAGAUCACUUCGGGAAACCGGAGCUAAUACCGGAUAAUAUAUUGAACCGCAUGGUUCAAUAGUGAAAGACGGUUUUGCUGUCACUUAUAGAUGGAUCCGCGCCGCAUUAGCUAGUUGUUAAGGUAACGGCUUACCACGGCAACGAUGCGUAGCCGACCUGAGAGGGUGAUCGGCCACCCUGGAACGGAGACACGGUCCAGACUCCUACGGGAGGCAGCAGUAGGGAAUCUUCCGCAAUGGGCGAAAGCCUGACGGAGCAACGCCGCGUGAGUGAUGAAGGUCUUCGGAUCGUAAAACUCUGUUAUUAGGGAAGAACAAAUGUGUAAGUAACUAUGCACGUCUUGACGGUACCUAAUCAGAAAGCCACGGCUAACUACGUG
This 497-nucleotide ribosomal RNA is filed under the name uncultured bacterium. RNAcentral's name for it is "partial 16S ribosomal RNA". It matches the Rfam family "Bacterial small subunit ribosomal RNA", at positions 28 to 507 of the family's 1533-position model. The record is from RNAcentral.